GAUUCGUCACACUAUCAUUAACUGAAUCCAUAGGUUAAUGAGGCGAACCGGGGGAACUGAAACAUCUAAGUACCCCGAGGAAAAGAAAUCAACCGAGAUUCCCCCAGUAGCGGCGAGCGAACGGGGAGGAGCCCAGAGCCUGAAUCAGCAUGUGUGUUAGUGGAAGCGUCUGGAAAGGCGCGCGAUACAGGGUGACAGCCCCGUACACAAAAGCGCAUGUGCUGUGAGCUCGAUGAGUAGGGCGGGACACGUGGUAUCCUGUCUGAAUAUGGGGGGACCAUCCUCCAAGGCUAAAUACUCCUGACUGACCGAUAGUGAACCAGUACCGUGAGGGAAAGGCGAAAAGAACCCCGGCGAGGGGAGUGAAAAAGAACCUGAAACCGUGUACGUACAAGCAGUGGGAGCACCCUUUGGGGUGUGACUGCGUACCUUUUGUAUAAUGGGUCAGCGACUUAUAUUCUGUAGCAAGGUUAACCGUAUAGGGGAGCCGGAGGGAAACCGAGUCUUAAUUGGGCGUUAAGUUGCAGGGUAUAGACCCGAAACCCGGUGAUCUAGCCAUGGGCAGGUUGAAGGUUGGGUAACACUAACUGGAGGACCGAACCGACUAAUGUUGAAAAAUUAGCGGAUGACCUGUGGCUGGGGGUGAAAGGCCAAUCAAACCGGGAGAUAGCUGGUUCUCCCCGAAAGCUAUUUAGGUAGCGCCUCGUGAAUUCAUCUCCGGGGGUAGAGCACUGUUUCGGCUAGGGGGCCAUCCCGGCUUACCAACCCGAUGCAAACUGCGAAUACCGGAGAAUGUUAUCACGGGAGACACACGGCGGGUGCUAACGUCCGUCGUGAAGAGGGAAACAACCCAGACCGCCAGCUAAGGUCCCAAAGUCAUGGUUAAGUGGGAAACGAUGUGGGAAGGCCCAGACAGCCAGGAUGUUGGCUUAGAAGCAGCCAUCAUUUAAAGAAAGCGUAAUAGCUCACUGGUCGAGUCGGCCUGCGCGGAAGAUGUAACGGGGCUAAACCAU
This 1013-nucleotide ribosomal RNA is filed under the name Salmonella enterica subsp. enterica. Its description in RNAcentral is "partial 23S ribosomal RNA". It matches the Rfam family "Bacterial large subunit ribosomal RNA", at positions 137 to 1190 of the family's 2925-position model. Lineage: Bacteria; Pseudomonadati; Pseudomonadota; Gammaproteobacteria; Enterobacterales; Enterobacteriaceae. The record is from RNAcentral.